This 21523-nucleotide long non-coding RNA is filed under the name Cicer arietinum (chickpea). RNAcentral describes it as "long non-coding RNA (CARI_LNC002386)". Lineage: Eukaryota; Viridiplantae; Streptophyta; Magnoliopsida; Fabales; Fabaceae. The record is from RNAcentral.
CUUUUGCUCAAUUUCAACCAACUUCUUUCCAAACCUCUUAUAGGCCUCUACUGGUUGUGAGUCUGAAGUCCAUAGAUCACCUUCAAUUCUCUGUCCAAGGUAUUGCUCAUCAGAAGCGUGCCUAGACAAGAUCUCUAUAAUGGUGAGGUCAGUAAGGGUAUCAUUCUUUGGUGUGAUUGUCCUCAAAUAUAACUUUUGGAAGUCAUCAGAAAGAUCAUCAUACUCUGGAGAUCCUUUUUCAGGCAUGAAUCUCCUGCUUUUAGUUGGUCGGUUAAGGAUAUAUCCUCCAUAUGGAUAUUGUCCAAAAUUAACAGCUGCAUGAAGUGCUGAAGCAAUCCAUAUGAGAAUGGUGCAAGCUUCAAUCAACUCUUUACGAGUUUGCAUCUUGAACCACCAUGUAGCAUUCUUCAAGUCACCAUGACCAACCUCAACAAGUUCUUUCCAAAAUGCUUGGAGUUCAGAAUCUUGUGCAAUAGCAUCAUCUGACUUGUAGUAAAAAUUCACAUAUUCUUCAACCCAUGACUUGAUAGCAGCCCAUAUUUCUAGUCCAUCAGAAGCAUAAGGGUAGUCUUCUAUUAGAAGGCGAAUGCCAUAUGGUGAGGAUGGAUCCUCAACAGCCACUCCCCUAUAUAACAAGCAAGGAAGAUAUAAUUAAAAUAUAAAAAUUAUAUCAAUAUCUUUUUUAACAAAUUAAUGGAAUGGCCCAUGGAUGAAAUAUUUUGUAAUUAAGGUUACCUUUUGAGUAAAUCAUAAGGUAGUCCUUGCUCAGUGAAAACCCAAUCCUUGUAAACAGCUGAAGACAUUUCCAAAGCAUAUUCUCCCCACAAGAAUGUUGAUUCUAUAAUACCCUCAGCAUUGACAAGGACAUUUCGUGCAAGUGCAUUUAUGUUCAUUGUAUCACGAUAAUGUGGAAGUAAAAGUUUAUGAAUAGGAUGAACCACACUAAGAUGUCUAUUUGUAGCAAUGAUGAAUGGCUCAACAACAGCGUGAGUAUUCAACCUGUCACAGAUAUAAAUAUAUCCAUGAAUUACUCAAAGAUAGAUAAAACAUUGUAUAAACAUCAUUAAUGAAACUCAUACCAAUGGCUAACAAGUUGGUGAUAACACGAGUCAUUUACGACAACAUAAGCCUUGCAAAGUAUCCACAUUGCAGCUUCAACACCUUCGAUUCCGGACAUGUAUACAUUACUAACAGGACCAAAACUAUCACCUUGAGGAUGUGGCCUACUUAGCUCAAUCGCCAAUGGAUUCAAUGUUCCAUCAUCUUGCAAGAAAAGAAUGGUUCUUGUAGCAUAGGCCUUAGUGUCGGUUGCAUUUAUUUUCCUCAAAUAUGGAAAAAGUGGAUCGUGGUGAUCAAGUAUAUACAAUCUAUUAUUUUGGAUGGCCUGUUUCAUUUGAAUAAAAACAAUCAAUUUUGAUGAAAAAGAAUAAUAUAAUGAACCCUUUUGGGGAGUGUCCAAUUGUCUUACCUGUUCUACGGUGACCCCAUUCAUGUUUGGCUCUAAGUGUUUUUUGGUUAUUGUGCUAGUAUUAUCACCAUAGAUUUGACUAUCUAACUUGCUCUUUGGUGGAAAUUCCUAAAUUAAUUGUAGCAAGAAAUGAGGUCAAUUACCAAAUAUAAUUAUAGCACAAAAAGAGAUAAAUAAUAAUGUUUAAUUUUCCAUACUUGCUUAACAAUGUUAAACUAUGAAGUUUACCUUAAGUAUUUUGAUGAUGUGUGGAUUUACACCAGCAAUCAUCUCCCUUGCAAAUUCUGAAUCAUUCAUCCAUGCAAGAUCGUCCACUGCUCAUGAUAAAAACAAUUCAAUGGAAAAGUGAACAUCUUUUUUAUGAUUUACGAUGUAAAUAUAUUUAUAGAACUAGGAACUUGCAAGUAAUAUAUACCUUGAACCACUUUAGGUGGUGGAAAUUUAAGUGCCGAUUCACCAUCACUUCGGAAAAGUUCGGUAAACAAUGGUAUUGGACUAAUUUCGCUUAAUAUGUUAGUAGGAAGUUUAAUUCCACCAUCAUAGAGCGAUGUUACAUCGUCAAAAUCUUUAAAUUCAGGUUCAUUAAGUUGUAAUGUAACUACAGAUCUUAACCGAGGUAUGAUAUUUUGAGAUGCUGAUUUGAGUAUGUAAACAAGAAAAUCUGAUGACUUUAAGUGACCAAAUGAUUCAUCUCUUGGAAGGUAAACAACGUCGCUCCGACUCUCACUCUUAGGAUCUGUUCACGUGUAAAAUAACAAAAUAUGUUAUAUAAACUACACUAAUAUUUUUUAAAUCACAAGUAGAGUAAACAUUGUAUGAACAAAAAGACACAUUGUUAUACUCCAAAAAAAUGGCACAUAUUAGUAUAGUUAGUUAGUCUUAAUUUCAAUUAUGUCAAGGUACCAUUAAACAACCUGUAUUAGUCACUAGUGACAAAAAACAUUACAUACAAAGUUACUUUAAAUACAAUUUCACAUUUUAGUACAAUAUUAUUGGAUUUGUACUAAAAUAUACGUUAAAAGUAAAAUAGAAGGCUUAACCUUUGUUAGUUGGUUUUCUUCCGGUUCUACCCCUUCGAGGAUAAGGAAGGGUGCUCGAUCCUCCAAGAAUUGGACGAGCUAAGGUACUUUUCUUGUCAGGCUCACCCAAAUCAUUGUAGACAUCAUAAUCAUAUAUUCUUUCCCAUUCUUUACGCUCUCCGGUUCCAUCUCCUCUUAAAGUUUUCAAUUCUUCCUUUCUAUAGUACACUAAUGGAGCUGGUGUUUCACUUGGAAGAUAUGUCUACAUAAAUUUAAUCAUUCAUAACCUCAAAUUUCACAAACAAUAAUUUAUAUAUAUAACAGUUUUAAUAAAUAUAUUUAACAAAGUAAGAUAAAAUUUAUAUACUUAAUUACCUUGUUGGCAAAGAAAAUGCGACCAGUUUUGUACUUUUUAGAAUUGUAAACCCAUGAGUUGCAAACAAAGUUGAUGGUUUCAUGGUUUGGAACAUUUUCAAGAGUCAAACUCACAAGGAAGAAUUCACCUUGCAUAAAAUUAUCGAUAUAAAAAGCUCCUGGAAUUCCCAUAUCACUGUCCCAUUCAAAAUGAAUACUGAAAGCAGUUUGUUUGUCUCCCAAUGUUGGUAAAGAGGUAAGAAGACCUUCCAAAAAUGUUUGCUUUCCUACUUUUCCUUUUCCAGUUCCUAUUAAAAUGUCAAAUUUUGGAUUCCCAAUUUCAUUAAUCAUCAUUCUAAAUUGAUUAUUUAUAACUAAUAUUCUAAAUAAAAAAUAACACGAAACUAAGGUCAAUCUUAAUGGACUGAGGGGUAAAACUCUUAAAAAAUAUAAGAUAAAAUUACUUACACUUGAUAAAACUAAGAAUAAUUAUUUUUUACUUCUUAAUAUAAGGCCAGUUAUAUAUGAUCGUAUUAAAAUUUUAUAUUACAUAAGACAAUUUCUAGUUGUGACUUUCUUUUAUGUAAUACCCAGCAAAUCUAGGACUCUAGAUCAACGGUGGAUAGUAUAUUUUAAAAAAAUAAUUAUCAAAGUAAAAGCCUAAACUGAUUUUUUUUAGAAAAAAUAUAUUGAAACCAUGCUACAUUGGUCCUUGGAAAAAAAUAGUCACAUAUUUUGAUCCGAAAUCACUUUUCUCUUUACAUCUUUUUUAUUUAUCUUGUUAUUUAAAUAAAUGAUAUCUAUAUAGAUCUACUUUUUAUUUAUAUUUUCAUGUUAUUUUGCUGAUUAAAUGAAAAGUUAUUAGAUUUUUAUGAUCUCGUUUAAGUAUUUUUUUUUGUUUAAAUUAACUUUGAUUCAAUAUAGAUAUAUAUAUAUAUCAAUAACUCCAAUGUCAUCAAUGUUUACAAGUUCGAAGAUAAAAUUAUUUCAGCUACUUUAAUUUUAUCAAAUUUAUAAAUAUUUUGUCCUCUUAUACUAUUAAUCCGAAUAUUAAUCUUAUUUACAAGUUUACCGUUUUUAAUUUUAAGGAAUUUUUAUUUGCGUAGUUCUCAAUUGAUAUAUUUUAUUAAUUUGAAUGAAAUGUAUAUCAUUGUUUAAUAAAAAAUAAAAUUGCUUAAUUAAAUUAUAUAUUAAAAUAGGGAGAGUGAGAAAGAGAAUUGUUAUUACCAUCGUCAGUUGUAGCACUGAUCAACUUGAAAGCAAUAGAACGACCCAAGAAAGAAGUGGCGGUAUCAAGUAAAGAGCCGGCGAUAUCUCCGAUAGCGCCGAUGGCACCACCGAUUAUACCACCGGGGCUUUGAACUGCAGUGAGAGCGUUGAUGUCCAAAACAUUCUUUUGCAUCAACACCACAGUUCCUUUCAGCUUUUCGCCUCUGUUAAAAAUACCUUUCACCAAUGAAGCCAUCAAGCUAUGUUAAUUAAUUCACUUUCUUUGACAAAUGUAAGAAAAGCUCGUGUCUUGUAACCAUGGAGUGUGCUUAGUAUUUAUAGACUAUCGUAGUUGUCAUAAGAAGGUUAGAUCACUAAAAAUAUACUUUUUUAUUCAUUAUUUGACAACAUGUGAAAAUACAUUGGGACACAUCUCUUCAGCUAUUUUUUUUAUUUAUUUAUUAAAUUUUAUUUAUUAAAAAAUGUAGGAUGAUAAAAUAAUGUCUCAACUUAAGUUAGUGAAGAUUUUAUAGUUGAUUGAACACUUACAAAUAAUUUACAUUUGCGUUCUUUAAUAAUAUUAGAGGAUAUUUAGGAUAUCGAAUUUAAGAGAGAGAAUAGGUUGGGCCGAUGUAGAGUUUGUUAGGCUUGUAAAAAAAUUCAAGGUUUAAGUCUAGUUUGUCGGUUACAGACUUACUUUUUAAGUCUGAGUUUGACAUUGAUAAAAGUUGUGAUAGAAGUCUGGUAUUAUAUUAUCUGUUAUCAUACUUAAAAGCCUAAUUCAUUUCAAUAUUUUUGAAUAAAUAAUAAAAUAUAUAUUUAAAUAAAUUAAUGAAUUAAUAUGUCAAUAAAAUUAAGUUCUAUUUUGAUAUUUAACAUUAUAUUUUGAAGAAUAUGAUUUUAUAAAUAUAAAACUUAAAUUAUAUUUUAUAAUAAUACAUUUAAAUAUGUCAAAAACUAAAUGAUAUUAAUAUGCUAAAUUAUUAAAAGUUGAAUAUAUAAUAAAAAAAAAUCAAAAUUUAGUAUAAGAAUUAUACUGGUAAAAAAAUAUUAUUUAUAUUUAUUUAAAUAAGUCGACCUAAUAGCUCAAUAAAUUUAUCAGGUAGUUUGAUCUUUUUAACUAAUCUAUUUUAAAAAAAAAAAGUCUAACAUGAUCUAGACCUGACAUAUACUAUUAAUCUGAUCUAUUUUCAUCUUUAAUUCGAUCUAAUACCUAUUUUUUAGUGUUGUAUUAAUGUUGUUUCUUGUGCAAUUUUAUAUUUAUCGUGAUUAUCUCGUGGCUUAUAAAAUAAUAAUGUCAUUUGCAUAAUUAUUUUGAUUGUUCUUAUAUGUACCAGCUUUUACGUUAUGGGUAAUCAUGAGUCUAUUGCACUAUUGUUAAUUACGUUCUUACCUGUAAGCCGACCAAAAUAUUCCUUUUUUAUUUUUUUUAUUUUUUUAUUUUCAUACUCUUGUUUAGAAGUAAAUUUCAAAUUUAACCCUUAAUCUCACUUAUUCACUAAUUAAUUUAUUAAAGUAUUCUAAUUUAAUAUUUCUAAUGUUAAUCACGUUUUUGUUUUGUUUUAAGGGAUGGGUAACUUAAGAGUUAUCUUUAUAUCAUGGUAUAGAAAAUAUAAUUUAAAUUAUAUUUUAUUUUAUCUUAAAUCUAAAAUAAUGACAUUAUUUAACUAUUUCACAUAAAUUAAAAAAAUUAUUAUUAAUUAAAAUUUUCUUUUUAAUCAUUGAUGUAUUCUAUUUACCACAAAUAUAAAAUAGUGAAUAAUAAAUUGAUAGUGAUUAAUAUAAUUUAAUACUUAAUUGUAGUUCUGGACCCUUUGUUUUUAUCAAUUAAAAAAAUUGAUAUAUUUAUUUUAAAAUUCGACAGUUGUUGUCCUUCUAUAAAAAUUUUGAACUAAUAAAAAUGACAAUUUAAGGUAUUUUAAAUAAUGUGAGAUUCAAUUACAUGAUAUAGAAUCACCUAGAUAAAUUAAUUAUUUAUAUAUGUCAUUAAUUAAAUUAUAAAUAUGAAGAAAAAAAAUUGAAGUUGAAAGUUACAUUUUUAUAGUGUUUUAUUUUGAUUUUAUAAAUGUUAAUCAUUCUACGCCAUUUUAUCAUAUGACAUAUUAUUUAAAACAUGUAACGUGACCAUUUUUUAGUUAAAAAAUAGAGGGUCCAAAUUGUCAACUUUUAAAAUAUGAAAUUAGUUUCGUGAAUCAGUAGAAAUAUGAGAACUAAAACUAAAAUCAAACUUAAUAUUAAUUAGAUAAUACAGUUAAAAAAAAUUAAAAUUACAUUAAAAAAUGAUGUAAUUUAUACAUACAAUAUAAAUAAUUUUUAUAUUAUCAAUCAAUAACACAACCGUUAUAUUAUUAGAGGUAUUUAAAUUUUAUCAAAUUAUCUUUAAAAUUAUAUUCAUAAAUACAUAUGUACUUAUGAUAUAUUAAUAGUAUAAAUUUUUUAGAUAGUACAUAACAAUUAAUUUUGCGAUGUUCAGACGUGUUGACCCAAAUGACAUUCCUACAAAAAUUCUUGAAAUUCCUACAAAAAUGCUUUUAGUCUCUUCACAAACGGAUGUAGGAAUAAUCAUAACCUGAGGUUGCCCCACCUAUCUUAAUUAAAAAUUUAAAAACUAACUUGGUGAGAUUUGAAAAUCUUAAAGCAAAAUAUUAUAUCAAUAAAUAUACAUCAUGUGCGUGUACGGUGUAUGGUAAAUCCUUUUGGAAAGAUUUAUUCGUACAAACACAUAGCAUAUCACAUAUGUUAUUUAGACAUAAUAUAUACUAUUAGUUAAUGUCUUUUUUUCAUCGUAAUCAUACGAGUAAAGAGAACAUAUUAAUAAAAAAAAUUCAAAACUGUAUGUUAAUAUGGUUUUUGAUGUCGAAAUUUAUGUCAAAAUAUUAUUUCUGCAUAGUACAUAUAAAUAAAGAUUAUGAUAUAAUUUUUGAAAAAUUAAAAGAUUAUUAAAUAUUUAUUUUAUUUAUAAGUGUAUGUUUUUUUAGUUUUUCAUAAGUUAUUUUCACCAAAUGUAAUCUGUUAUGUUAGAUAUUAAAGUUGAUACAUCUUUUGAUGAAAAUUCAAACUUCAACAUGUUAAGUGCACAACAAAGCCUGGAUAAAACACAUUAAACAACUUUUAUCAUUUUAAGAGAUUUAUUUCAAAUAUGUCAGCUACAUAUACCAUUUAUGUGAUGGCCAUUUUUAAAUAGUAUAUUAUAAUAGUUUAACUUUAAUUUUUUUUUUUGUGUGACUAUUAUGUUUCCUAUUUUGGAUUAUUUACCAAUAAUAUAAAUUAUGUAAAUGUUAUAAAAAUGUAUAAUUGAUUUUGGAAACAAAUAUUAUUUCCAUAAAUAAAUUGAAGUUAUCAAAUAAUAUUUUGGGACAGAAACGGUAGUAAUUAUUAUAAGCAUGUUUUACAAAAUAAUUUUUUUAAUAUUCUAAAUAAUAAGUUAUUGAUGUAAUUAAUUUGAGGUUAAAUAUAUCCCCUUAAAUUUAAUUACAUUAAUUAAAUAGUGCAAAUUUUAUAAAACUAUUUUUGUAUUAAUAAUUCAUUUGUGCCAAAUUAUAUGUCAUUUUUCCAAUUUCACAUAAAUUAAAAAAUAUUAUCAAUGUUGUAUAAAAAAGAGAAAUUAUGAUUUGUUUUAUAAAAUAUCGUUCAUUAAUGAUAUAAGAACGAUAAAUUUAAAACAUUGAGAAAAAAAAAAAACAAAGUAAUACAUAGUAAAAAGUUUAAUAGCAAAAGAAACAUUAAUAAUUUAGUGAUACCGGAAAACAAUAUCAUUUAGAAAGAAAUUAUUGAACACUUAUCUAACCAUUAAUAGUCGAACAUAAUUAAUCAAAUAUCAAAUAAUUAUAAGCAAUAAAAAUAAUUAUAAAAUUCUAAUUUGUCAAAAUAGCAAAAGAAACACAUCAUCGUUUUUCCUCUUAACUUCAUAGUAUCCAGUGCAACAUCCUCAACUCUCACUAUAUCGACAUAUGAAAAUUAAAGCGAAUCUUAAUUCUUUCAAACCUCUCUUUGAAUACAUGAGUGACAUUGACUUGAAUCCCCAAAGAUUAAGUUCACCCUUUAUAUUUUUUUUAACCUAUUAAAUAUAGUUUUUAUUAAAUAUUUCAAUGGUUAACAUUUGUCAAAUAAAAUAACAAAAAUAACAAAAUCAUACAGUUAUUUUAAAAAAUCAUUUAUGUAAUAUAGUAAAAAAGAAAAUAUUAAUGUUUUAUUCACUACACUAUUAUUUAAAAUAAUAAGGACCAUAAUUAUAACUCAUACUAAUAGAAUUUUAACACGUGUAUCACACGUACUUAUAUCAAUGGUAAUCUAUUCUGCAUCAAUUACCAUUAACAACAUAAACAACAUAACUUGUAUAAAACAAAUACUAUAAGUCAUUCAGUUUAAGAAAUAGAGUUCAAUUUAUUAUUUGAUAUUGUCACCCAUUUAAUCAAUCACUGCUCUUUUAUUCAAUUACAAAUAUGAUUAAUAUUUUAAAAUAUCUUGAAAUUAUUUUUUCAAUUGUGUUACUUUAAGAGCAUCCUAAUUUUGGUACUUUAAGAGCAUUCACUUAAGUUUAUCUACUUAUUUUAAAUGAUUUUGAUGAUUUUGAAAGGAUUUUAUCAUUUUGUAUAACUUUUUUAAAAGAGAUUUAAAAAUAAAAGUUUUAAAUAAGAAAUUAGUUUGAAUAGCUUCUAUUUUAAGUAUUUCAUCAUUUUAUUACAAAUUUUUUUAGAUGAUAAAAUUUCAAAAAUUGUUUAAAAUAUGAAGCUAUUAAUUUUGAGUAGUUUCUCAUAAAAAUCAUUUUCAAGAUGUAUUUUUUUUUAAAACAAUAAUUUUUUUAUUUUUUUUAAAUAUUUAUAUUAUUAAAUAUUAAAAUUAUUAUUUUUAAAUCUAUAACAUAUAACUCUUAAACAACUUUUAUUGUUUUUGAAUAGGUUUUCAUAAAAAUCAUUUUUCAUUUAAUCUAUAACAAACAUACCAAUAUCUUUAUUGUGUAGAUUACUUUUUCAGCGCAUUAAUUACCACUUUUUCCAUGCCAUAUUGCAGAAUUGUAGUACUGCUAGCUAGCUACGUACAAACCUUGGUGUUCUUAAUUCAUUCAUUGAAUCCAAACAUGAAGGUUGCAUUUCAUAUUACAUGUCUAACAAAUACAAGAGAUACAUACAUCAUAUGUAGUUCUUAGUAAAGUAAAACGUAAGAGUGAACAACCAAAGAUACAAAGCAAACAUGACAUGAUUGUGAUGAGGGAAUUUGAUUGCUACUCAUAUUUUAUUCAAUGCCGCAACACAACAAACCAUCAACCUCUUUAUAUGGAGAUACUAUUGGGAAUGUCUCUACAAGUCAAUCCUUUAUCACUAGAAGGAUAAAGCAAAGUGUAAGGCAUUUUCACUAGUCCACGUCGGUUUCUCAAUGACUCAUCAUUGUUCCUUUGAAUGAGCAUUUGCUCAAUUUUUGCCAACUUCUUUCCAAACCUCUUGAAAGCCUCAAUUGGUUGUGAAUCAGAAGUCCAAAGAUCACCUUUAACUCUUUGUCCAAGGUAUACAACAUAUGGAUAGUCCUCUGUUAAAAGACGAAUGUCGUGUGGAGAAGUUGAUCCUCAAUAGCCACUCUUCUAGAUAACAAGCAAGGAAGAUCACUACUAAAAAUUUCACUUUUAGUGACCGAUUUGGAGACUAAAUUUUUUCGAUCACUUUAGAGACUGAAUUAGAGACCAAAAUACAAAACUGUAUAAAGAACCAUUUUUUUGUCACUAAAUCGGUUGCACAUGAUAUUUAGAGACUGAUUUAAUGACUUAAGUUUUAGUGACAAAAAAAUCGAUCUCUAUUAUUUAUAUCUUCUUUUUAAUUAAAAUUGCUGGCAAAACUUUUAUUAAUGUCUAUUUUUGUUACAACACAUAUUUUUAUUACAUCACAUUUUUCAUUUGCGGCAUAUUUUGUUUUAAUUGGACAUAUCUUUGAUUUUGUUUUGUCUCAUCAGUUUCUCAUAAGAAAUCAUCUCAAAAUUUAAUUGAUUUGUGGACAUGAUUUUGUAUUUAAGUGUAUUACGUGUUUUUUUUUAUAAAUGAAUGAACAUCAAUGUUUUAGGAAUCACUAUUAGAAAAACCGAUUUUAGCGUCGGCCAAAAGCCCACACUAAUGUUGACUUGGCGUCCGAUUAGCGUCGGUGUCGGCCUAGGCUAAAACCGUCGAAGUCAAUAGCGUCGGUCAAAUACCAUCCCAAAGUAAAUGCAUCCAACACUAACAAAUAACAAUACCUUCAAAUUAGAAUCCGCUAGUUUAUAUCCUGAAAAAAUUCUAUUGCGUCGGAAUUACGGUCGACAAAUUAGUUAGCGUCGGCUACUCCGACGCAAUGGUCAACUAAUAAAGUAAGUGGACUAUUAAUAAAAGUCAACUUUGUUACUAAUAUAGCGUCGGGCAUGCCAAUGCUGCGAUCAACAAUUGAAACGUAAACAACAAAGAACAAAUCAAAUAAAUGUAGUUAAAUAUGUCACCACAAGCAUGAUAUAAUUGAUAAUGCAUAAAAAACACUUUAACAAAUGCCUAAUUCUUUCACCAGGUUCCAUUAUGCUUCAUUAUUAUAUACUUAUAUCAUAAAUCCCAGAUAGACAUCAAACAGAGAAAAUAAACCUUGCCUUGCAAAACGAGGUAAAGAACAACGUCAAAUUCUGUAUAAAUGCCUAAACAGAGGGUGCAAAAAAGCCAAGGUUAGACAUUGCAAACAAUUCAGGAAAUUGGGCUUCUUAUUGAGAUGAUGAAUACUGUUGCUUAUUUUUUAAAACCACAUGUAAUAAUAACUCAUGUAAAUUGUUGGUUUUUUAGAGGAAUGAGUACGCAUACAUGAAUGUAGUAUGUGUGUGACCCUCUUAGAUUCAUUAAGAUUAAUGUAUGAAAACAUUUAAAAGAAUAAUGAAAUAGAUUGCAGUAAAAAGAGCAUUACCAUUGCUCCCUUCAACAAUUCCUGCGGGUUCAGAGAGCUGCAAAACAUUGAUAAAUAUGUUUUAACAUAUAUCCAUGGCUAUUAGGUAAGUAAGACUUCAUUUGUUUUGAUUUGUUAUGUUGAUAUUAAUUUGCAUGAGCAUUUACAUUAAGUCGCUUGCACAUGAAAUAUUAAUUACUAAUAGAAACUUGCAGGCUGACCAGUCAAUCUUAGUGUCACAAGAACUAUACAUAAAUAAGAAUGAGGAGAGAAUUUUGAGAAACUUCAGCAAAGACAGAAUUUGGAAAUUGCACAUAAAGACAAAAGGAACAUAUAAAAUAUCAUAACAUAUAUUCCCCUUUGAAGUAUUACACACACACACAAAUACAAUCAAUUGAGCCAUGCACUCAGCCCCACUCAACUCCACCUAGUAAAAAGUGGUUUGCUUGUUGUUGACAAUGAUAAAGAAAUCUAAUUAUAGAAGCAAAAUUAGUACUGCAAGGCGCAAGCUAUAAAAGGCUUCACAAAUUGUCCGAGAAGAGAGGAUCACCACCAGCUAGCAAACGAGAUCCUCCUGUUUUCAGAUCAACUCUUGAUCAUUGGUACAGUAAGGACAUAAUUCGAACAACACAACCAUAAUUCGAACAGUACAGUCAAACCCUAAACCAAAACUGAACACAAACGACUUAGAUGGUUAAGGUUACAAUUACAUCGAGAAUGGAUGACAGUGAGAGUGAGCCUGAGAGACGAAAGUGAGAGUGAAUUUGAGAGACGAGAUUGAGACGGCGAAAGUGAGUCUGAGAGAUGAGCGGACGAGAGUGAGAUUGGGGGUGAGGCUGCGAGAGUGAAUGUGAGGCGAGGGAAACGGUGACACGGCGACGAAAGGGUGAGAGUGAAGAGUCAAGGGCGAGGGUUAGGGAAAAAUUAAUGAAGUGGGGAUAGGGAAAAUGGGGUGGGUGAGAGAUAAUAGGAAAAAAUAAUUUUAAUUUUUCAAAUAAGAUUAAAAGAUUUAAUUUUACAAAUCAGACAAUGUAGCGCCAGUCGACCUAAACGGCCAUAUUUUACUUAGCGUCGGCUAAGCCGACGCUAAUGUUUAAGCGGAAAAGAAAUUAAUGAACAUCAAUGUUUUAGGAAUAAAUGAACAUCAAUUUUAGGAAUGUUUGCAUAUAUUUGGGUUUAGAUAUAAGUCAACUAUAUAUUGUUUGAUUUGAUUCUAAAGAUGAAAAAAGGAUUUUGGAUAAGGAGCAGCAACAACCAUUCUAUCAUUGCAAACUCAUUUGAGUUUGUUAAGUUGCCAAUUGUGGCUAUAUAUUUUUGAUGAUUCAUUUGUAUUUAAAAUGAUUUGUUCAAUAUAUUCAGCAAAUAAUGCAUAUUAUUGGAAUUAGCACUGAACAAAGCAUAUGUUAUUUUGAAAAUGAAAAAAAUAGUGUUUUGAGGAGGAACUAUAAUUUCUCACCCGUUUGGAAAUUGUUUAACUUCUUAUUUCUCAAUCUAACACACUCACAUAUUAGGGCUAUUCUGUACGUGGUGUUUAGCUCUCAUUUAUGAGAAAAUUUCAAUGGCAACUUUAGGUUGUUUCGUUGGUUAGUAUGAUUGACUUAUUUAUGUUACAAACAAUUUUGAUUUGUUUUUUAUUGAAAAGCUUCUUUUCUUUCGUAUUGUUUUGUUCACUUGUACAAUGAUUGACUAUCUAUGUAUGCAUCUACAUUACCUAUAAAUCUUAUUUGGAUUUUAUCCAAAAGCGCUUCAUUUUCCUAAGGUUUAUGUGAAUUUUAGUUGCUAAAAUAUUUUCAUUGAAUUAUUCACUAAACUAAAAUUGAUUAGUCACUUACUAAUAUUAUGUAAAGUUUCAAAUAUUAAGAUUCUUCUAUUGUUGGUUAUUUUUAUCAACAACUUACAAGAUCACUUUUUUUAUUUAGGUCCCGCUGAGGAACUUGUUGAAAAACCGUUUGUUGUCAUAAAUUGGCCACAAUAUUCAAAUUUUAUAUUUUUCAAGCUAAAUACCCUAUCAAAAAGAAUUAUGAGAUAAACACUUAUUACAAAUAAACAUAAAAAAUAUGAGAUAAAUAUUUAUAAAAGAUAAAUUUAAAAAGCGCAUGAAUAAUAUUUAUCAUUAUUACUUUAAAAAAAUAUAAGACAAAUAUUUAUCACGAAAAGUAUAAAAAGCACGUGAUAAAUAUUUAUCAUUGAAAAAUAUAAAAAAUACCAGACAAAUAUUUAUUACUGAUAAAUAUAGAAAUACAUGAGACAAAUAUAUGUUAUUAAUAUAUAAAAAAUAUAUGACACAUAUUUAUCACCGAUAAAUAAAUAUAAAUAAAAAAUACGGAACAUAUAUUUGUCAUUGAUACAUAAAAACAACAUGAAAAAAAUAUUUAUCACAAAUAAAUAUAAAAAACACAGGAUAAAACUUUGUCACAGAUAUAUAAAAAGAAAUAUGAAAAAAAUAUUUGUCAUCGAUAAAUAUUAAAAAUACACACAGAAUAUAUAUUUUUCAUCGAUAAAUAUAAAAAAUUAUGGGACCAAUAUUUAUCAUUGAUACAUAAAAAAAAAUACAUAACUUAUAUUUGUCAUUAAUCAAUUUAUAAAAACAAUUGUGACAAAUAUAUGUCAUUAAUACAUAAAAUAAGACAAGAAAAAAAAUUGUUGAUAAAUUUAAAAAAGCACAAAACAUAGGGCAAAUAUUUAGUAUUAAAAUCAUACACGAUACAAAUAUUUGUCUUUAAAAAAUUAGUUAAAAUUAAUGUUAUUUUUAAUAUCUGAUACAUAAAAAUAAGAAUAAUUAUAAUACCGUAUUUAUAAAUAAAAAAAUAUACUCAAGACAAUUGUUUGUCAUAAUUAAUUAAUGAUUUAAAUAUAUAUUUGAUCAUCAAUUAUAGUAUUUUUUUAUUUUAGUCCUCAUAUGUUUUUUUGUUUGAUUCACAUCUCUCCAAAUACAUAUUCAUUUUAAAAUGGAGGGAGACAAUAAAAAUUAGAGUUUUCAGUUUUAGUUUCCCUUUAAAAAAAUAAUCAAAAAAUUAUUUUUUAUAAAAAAAUUUAUUUAAUACAUUGUGUCGUCAACUUAAUAUUUUAAUUACUUAAUGGUGUUAGAAUUUUUUUAUCAAAAAUUGGUCUAAAAGACUAUUUUAAAAUGAAUAUGUAUUUGUAGGAAUGUGAAUCAAACAAAAAAAUUUACGAUAACUAAAAUAAAUAAAUAAAAUAUUAUAAUUGUAAGGACUAAAGACGUAUUUAAAUCUUAAUUAAUUAAUUAAUUUUAAUUUAAUUAAUUAAGUUUAACUUACAUUUGUCUUUUUUGCUUAAUUUAAUUGGUUAUGCUUCAACAUUAUAGUAUCGUGCUUCGAUUAUAUCAAUUAAAUUUUUUGAUAGUAAAAUGUUAUAAUUUAUUUUAACAUUUAUGCAAAUAACAUAUCAUAAUUAUUUAUAUAAUAUUUAACUAUUCAUGUUAUAAUUAAGUGUUAUGUAUUUUUGUCCAAAUGACUUGUCCAAAUAACUGUGCCCAACCAAGUAUUUUUCUUUGUGCAUAGAGUAAUUUGCACUGUUGUAGUUAUUGAGUUAUUAUUUGUUUUGAAGUGAUUGAGUUAUUAUUAGUUAAGUUUAUUUUACUCAAAACUUUGUUAUUUGUUAUUUUAUAAGCAAAUAUAAAUAAUUAGUUAGAUUAUAUUAAUAUAUGAGAUCAAAUUUGAGAUAUUUUGAUUGAAAUGUUAUAUAGUAUAUAUAUAUAUAUAUCCCAUUAUGUUAGAUUAUUCAAUUAAUUAAUUAUUAUAAAUUAUGGCUAAUUGCUAAUAAAUAUUAAUUAAUUAUUAUAAAUUAUGGCUAAUUGCUAAUAAAUAUUAAUUAAUUAAUGAAUCUGUGUUGAAUUAUGUUUCUUAAAUCCAAUGAAAAGACUAUCCUUAAUAUUUUAUAGAAAAUUUGUCUUCGAUAGUAUAAAGUUGACCAAAAUACGUUACUAUAAAUCAACUUCUGUUGAUGUAUUAAGCAUCGGAGAGCAAAAAUAAAGGUGGAGGAAUACUUACCGACCUUUACACCAAUUUAUUUUUGUGUAAUAUCUUUUUUAAAAUAAAAUUGAUCGAUUUAAUAUUUGUUGAGAUAAUAUUAAUUUUAAAUAAAAAUUUAUUAAUAUUAAAUUUAAAAACAGUAGAAUAUAGAGGUGGAAAAAUCAAUCGAAUCGACAAUUUGUUUAUAUAAUUUAUCGAUCUCAGUUUUAAAUUUUAUACAUAAAAUACUAAAAUAUAUAUGUAAGGGAUUUUCGUUUUUAAUUUCAAGAUCCCUAAAUGUCUCUUACUAGAAUUAUUUUUUAUUUAACUAUUUUUCUAAAAGUUGAUUGAAAUUUUAUGUUUUUAUCAAUACAAGAACAACAUAUUAAUUUUUCACGUAAUUUCAUGAUAUGGAUUAAGAGAGAUAAUUUGUUUUUAAUUUUAAAAACUCUAAAAUGUCUCCUUGUUGUUUAAUUAUUUUUCUAAAUGUUAAUUGAAAGUUUAUAUUCUUAUGAUUAUUGCACUCAAAAUAUUAACAAUUACAUGAGUUUAUUUUAAAAUUGAACUCAAAAUAUUAACAAUUACAUGAGUUUAUUUUAAAAUUGAGAGAACUUUAAAUUCCAAUUUAACUGAUUUAAAAUCAAAAUCAACAAUAUAAAUAUUUACGAAUAUAAAAGACUUACUUAAAAAAUAAAAAAGGACUAACGUUGAAAGUUAAAAGAUAAAUCUAUUAUAUUCAUAUAACUUAAAAAACUACAAUAUAUAUUUGCAUAAAUAAAUUUAAUAAUAUAAUAUUAUUACUUUUUAAGGUAAAAUAUGAUUAGUUAGUAUUACUUUCACAAAAGAAAAUGAAAAUGAGGUGUAUUAGUGUAUGAUUAUUACCUAACAAUAUAUAUAUUGGCCAAACAAUUGGUUCCGGAAAAAUCAUAAGGGUGUAUUAAUACUUUUUCAGCACUAUAUCAUUUUUCUUCCAUACAAUAUUGCAGAUUAAUUCGCACUACUACCUUUAUAAAAGCAUAAGUAUUAUUCUAUGGUACCAUUUUGUAAGUUUUAUUUUUCAAACUCUCUAACACAUCACACAUGAUAUUGCAGUCUCUUUAUAACCUUUUACAUAGAAACUGAAUAGAAUGUAUAUGCAAUAUUGAUGCUUACGGUAGGACAAUUCACUACUAGAAAAACAAGCUUUAGCGUCGGCCAAGAACCCACGCUAAAAACAAAAGGCCGACGCUAAAUAUGAUUUAGCGCCGCAGCAGAGGCUCAAUCUAAAAGGCUCGAAGCUAGUCAUUCGCGUCGGCUUCUUGUCAUCGGACGCUACAAUCUAUGGCAGAAUGGCCGAAGCUACAUGUUGUGUCGAUGAAACCGACGCUAAAUAGCGUCGGUUAGGCCUACGCUAACAUUGAAAAUCCCAAAAAAUAUAUCGCGAUACAGAACCACGUAAUAUAAAAGCUGUGUUAAUAAAUCCACAACGCAAAUUACAAAUAGUUAUUACAAAAAAAUAUUAUUGCACACGAAAAAAAGAUAAAAUAAAUAAUAGUAUAUCAAACUUAGAUGAAAUUAAGGUAAUUAGAGAAUCGAAUGAAUAGCAUAGUCCACCUUAAAAAAAAAAAACGAUAAGCAAUUAAAUCUAGAUUUGAAUUUUGUCAUUUUUAAUUAGAACAUUGUUCACUUGUUCUAGAGUUCUAUAUAAAUACAAUGUGUUUUUCCACUCUCAAAUUCCUUCAAAUAUUACCACCAUUUCAUUAUAAAGGAAAAAAGAAAGUAUUUUCGGUCUAAAAUGAAAAAGUAUACGAUAAGACUUACUCUUAUUAAGGGGAUUAGCACAAGGUCUUACAAAUUCUCUAAAAUUACCUUACCCUCCAAGAUCAAGAAGGAGAAACUUUACAAACAACUUAAAAGUAAGUUUUUGAGGCCAUUUACUCAUGCAAAAUACAUAUAAACCUCAAUAAAAAUUUCACAUAAUCCCAUCUCAUAAUAGAACAUAAAAACUAAAAAAAUAAAAAUAACAUAGUACCUUUCCUUGAUAAAGAACAAAAGGUAGGAGAAUAAGAAAUGCAGCACAGGGAAAAGAAAAUGAUAAUGGUAAAACAUGUAAGACCCAAAGAUCUAAGAUAACCCAUAAGCAUAGCAUUCCCAUCAUAAACAAAUUGCACACCAUUUCCCUCCAAUUACAGCCACAUCUUCCAUCAUACCAUAACUCAUCAUUUUUACUCAUUUCUUAUAAUUCCAAAUUCCAAACAUGAGAGGAGUGAUUUAUAUUUUAGUCUAUCCUCUCUUUUAUAUCUCAAUUUCAAUUCCCUCUAUACUCAAUAAUUCUCUCUAUCAUAAAUCAUAUAUUAAACUAAUAACAAGAAAAUGAAUAUGGAACUAAUCAUGAGAGUAUUGAUGAUGUAUGCAAUCCAAGUCUCCACAAUAAAAGUUCUAUUAGUUUUGAAGUCUAAGGUCUACAUCACUAACACAUAAUCAACUAGAAGACAAUAAGUGCGAAUUUAAUACUUACAAGCUCAAGUUCCACAUCAAUAUGAGCCUUGUGGCAUGAGGUCUGGAACGCUCUUCUUCUUGGUGAAGCUCGACGAUCUUAUUUUGAUUGGAGAUGUUCUUGAAUUUUACGCCUUCCCUGUAAGCUUGAAGACAAAUCCAAGCUUCCUCACCUAGAAAAAAAUAUAUGAACUUAAGAAACAAAUCAAACAUGACAAUGUAAACAAUUUGUAAACUAGACAUAGAUUACCAAUGAUAAAUAAGGGUAACAAUAAGAACAAUCAACUUGUAAACUAGACGAUGAGAUCAAUAAUCUAUUACAACUUACAAGAACCUCAAAAUAUAGAUUAUGCAAGUAUCAACCAAUAAUUGUGAGUCAGAAUGCUUCCAUCAAUAAUCUAUUGCAACUUACAAGAAGCAAACGUGCUUUUCUUAUAAUGACACAAUAACUAAAUCCCUAAGUUACAUCUUUGUUCACAUAAGGUAAAAUUAAAAGGUAAGUUAUCAAACAUGCAAAUAAGGAACAAAAAAGCUUAACCUUGUUCAAUAUAAACAUUAAAUUUAAAUAACAAAAGAAAAUCAUAAGUCUAAUAAUCAUCAAUCUCAAUCCAAUGCUCAAAAUAUACUUUAGUUCAAUCAAGGCAGGUGCAGCUAAAGGUCUUACUGUUUCCAAAUCACACCAUAAUAAUGGAAAUAAUGAUCUUUUCAACGUGGGCUUCAUCGCUAGGUCUGCUGCAAAGAUUCAAGCUAUAGCUAAUAACAAAUUCAUCCUUCUACAUGAUGAGGACAAUGCAUGUAGCUCAAACUAGACUGUAAUUGAGGAUGAACUAGGGAUUAAUGUUAAUUCUCAAGGCUACAUCCCUCCAAAUGACAGUACCCUGUAAGUUACAGAGAUAUCAGAAACACCUUUGGAUGAUAUGACUACAAGAUUUGGAGUUGCACCCUCCUUAACAUUUUUUAGGAACACAAGGCACAAUUGCACCUUAUUAAGCCACAAUAAGAACAACAUUUAUCAACAUACAAAAUCAAUCACUAACAACAAUCAAAUGUAAACUAACCAUGAUUAUGAGACAUCACAUCCAGAUCCACUAAUCUGCAAUUCAAUCACAUAAUAGUUUCAUAUUUUUCAGACUUCAGUAAAAAGAACAGAACAUGGCAAUAUCAAAAAAAAUUAGGGUUCAAGGAUCAAAGUAGCUUACCUGAUGCUGCAAGAGUUGUGUGAGGGCUUCCUAGAAGAGAAGGGAGAAGUGGUCAUAUGACUGUGAAUAGAGGUCAAAAAUCAUAUUUGAACAAUGUAACAAUAAUGCUUUCUAAAAUAUGGGGUUUAGGAUUUUAUAAAAAUUGAGAGAAAAUGAAAGAUUAGAGUUUCAUAAAAAUUGUUCCUUUGAAACUCAAACUCGAGACUUUAGGAAAGAAAAACUCACCUUUGAAUAAAAUGAAGACAACAGUGGAGGAAGAAAAGUAUGGCAUGGCAGUGAUAAACCAAAACUUUCUGCAAAGAAAAAACUGGAAGGAAAUUAGAAUAGACAAGAAUGAGGGAAACGAGAGUGAUGAGAAUGAAUGAGGGAAAGAAAGGAAAAUCGUGAAGGUUUUUUUGGUGUGUGGGGCAAAAAGAAAGGGAUGAAGGGAGGAGAAUGGAAGGAAGAGAACUGGUGGAAAGAGACGAGAGUGGACGGUUAAAACCGUAUUUUCUAGCGGUUAUUAUUACCUAGAAUAUAACCCGGGCAAUACUUCAUAAUUCUAUAAAUAAGUAGUUAUUGUGAAUAAGAUUUUAAAAAUAAUAUAAUUUAUUUAUUUUAUUUGUAGAGUAAUUUUUUUAAGUGGAUUUAGUAGAGUAAUUAUUAUAUAUAAGUUGACAUACACACAUUUGAGAAUAAGUAAAAUGUUUUGUAUAGUGAAGAUCAUCCUACAAAUAAAAUUCAUAAAUUAUAUUUAUUGUUAAAAAUCUUAAAAAUAUUUUAAUAAAUAUUAAUAUAUAUAAUUAUCUACCACAAAAUUAUAUUAAUCAUGCUCUUCUUUUGUGUUGUCAAAAUAUUGUUAGAAAAAUAUGAAAAUAAUUUUAUCAUUUAGUAUUCAUUUCAUUAUAAUCUGUAAAAAAAACAAAUAAUUUUUUAAUCUAAAUGGUAAAUAGUUUUAUCUCAAAGACACAAUAAUAACACUCAUAUAAAGCUGAAUAUGGACAAUAUUAUUUGUCUUUUGAGAAGCCAACAUACGAUCAUGUCGUAGAUGAGAUCACAUAUGUCUCUAAAAACAAUAUUAUAACUAAGAACAAUCAAGAUUUUGAGAAAAAUGAACAAAUAAGUAUAAUAUGUUACAAAAUACCACUUACUCAAAAACUAUUUGUACAAAAAAAAACAAUUCCAACUAUAUCUACUUCUUUGAAAUAAUUGGGUUGCAAAGAGAUUUUCUUUUGAGUUGAUAAAGUGGAGUUGUGAAAACUUAUAUGCAUAAUGUUUUCUCAUGACAUUGACAAAUCUUAAAAGUUAAUAGCAUAAGUUGCGAUAUAUAAGUUAAUUGCAUGAUGCUGCGAAAUAAAAGAUAAUUGCAUAAGGUGUGUUAAAAUAGCUACAAGAAAAAAAUAUAUUGACCAUUUAAAUAUUGGAGUUUCAGUUACCAAAAUAUAAUGUCAAAAUAAAUAUUAGAGUUUCAGUUUUGUUUUUAAUAAAACACUAAUUGUAUAGAUUAUUUGAAGAAGUAGAAUAGUAUACGUAGAAGAAAAAAACUUAUAUAUUGAUUGUACUUAAAUUUGUAACUCAUGACACAUUAAUAGUUAUACAUACUAUUAUAUGUUAAAUAAUAAUAAUAAUAAUAACAACACAACAUUUGAUAAAGAUGUAGGAGUCUAUUUUAAUAUAUAUAAUAGAUAAAAUGUGUGUUAAAGCAAAAUGAAAGUUGAAUAAUAAAGAGAAUUUAAGCGGAAAAACCAUUUAGAUGUGGCACAUGAGAUUUUUGUUGAGGUGACAAUAUUUGAAUGAAAUGACAUAAUAUUAGAUGAUUUUUAAGUGGGAGUCUAUUUUAAUUUAAGAUUUUUGUUAAAGGGACAAUAUUUGAAUGAAAUGCCAUAAUAUUAGAUGAUGUUUAUGUAGGAGUCUAUUUUAAUAUAUUGUUUAUCUAAAAGAAAAAGGUUUAAAAACAUGUAAUGAUGGAAGAAGAGAUAGAUAAACCUUUAAAAUGAUUCAAUAUAUUAAUUGAUAGUUAAAACAUACAAAGAGGAAAAAUUGUUAUCAACAAAGAGGAAUAAUUGUUAUCAAUAAUGAUGAGGAAACACCGUUAAUUAUCAAUAAUGAUGGAGGAAUAAUGAAUGUCUAAUAAUUGAUAACAUAUUUAUUUAUUGUGUUGUAAUUUGUAACUUAUAGCAUAUGAAUAAUUUUACAAAAUAUAUAUGAAAAAAAUAAAUUGCAAGUAUGAUAAUAAGAAAGAGGAAGAAUCUUGUUAGACGUGCCACAUCAAUUUUUUUUUUAUGGGACAAUAUUUGAAUGAGAUGACACAAUAUUUGAUAAACACGAAGGAGUCUAUUUUAAUAUAUAUUAUAGAUACAUUUUUUUAAUUAUUAUAUAUAGAUACAUAUAUAUCACAGAUCUAGUUUGUUACAAGGUAAAACAAACACAAUAGUUCUUAUUGAUUAAAGUAAAACAUAAUUAAACAAACAUACAUGGUAAUGUAACCGUAGAUAAUGAGUGAGGGAAUUGAAUUCCUUCUCAUCUGUUAUUCAUAUUCAUAGUAGAAACACAACAACCAUGACCUUCUUUAAAUAGAGAUACUAUUGGGAAUGCCUCUAAAAGUCAAUCCUUCUUCACUAGAAGGAUAAAGAAGAGUGUAUGGCAUCUUCACAGGUCCAUUUCGAUUCCUAAGUGUCUCAUCAUUGUUCCUUUGAGUGAGCUUUUGCUCAAUUUCAGCCAACUUCUUUCCAAACCUCUUGUAGGCCUCUAUUGGUUGUGAGUCAGAAGUCCAUAGAUCACCUUCAAUUCUCUGUCCAAGGUAUUGCUCAUCAGAAGCAUGCCUUGACAAGACCUCUAUAAUGGUCAGGUCAGUAAGGGUAUCAUUCUUUGGUGUGAUUGUCCUCAAAUAUGUCUUUUGGUAGUUCUUAGCAAGUUCAUCAUACUCAGGGGAUCCUUUCUCAGGCAUAUAUCUCCUACUUUUAGUUGGUCG